CUUUACUGCUGAGACCAUGGUGAAAUUACUCCGAGAUAAAAUUUCAGACUCUUCAAGCCUAUGGCCUGACAGAAUUGGAACUUCCUGAAAUGAAGAAGUCAUCAAGGGCCUACUAAGGUUUUAGGAGUCCUGACUGUGGCACUGUCAAACACACUGAUUUGCUUCACUGAAGCAGAAUGUAUGGUGGGCAUCUUCGCACUUCCAUGCCUGCUGGGAUGAGUCUAAAGUUCUUUAACUGCACUCAGCUGAUGGAUUUAUAUUGGAUCUUACAACAUUUCAGUCUUCAGAAGGAAAUCUCUCAUGAAAUUAAAGCUGAGACUUUUUCCUUCUGAGCGGAACUCUAUUUGAUAAAAGGUUUACAUGAGCUAUCUUCAACUCUCCAAUGAGCUAAAGUUUAUAAUGCUUUAUGUUCUCUGGCAUGUCAUGUGUCCUACCAGAUAGUUGUAUUAAAAGGUCUGUGAGGAAAAUGAGAUGUGAGCUGAAAUGAGAUGAGUUUUGUAGGUUCUUCAGAAGACAGUUGGAAGGAUCUACAUGAGUAGUGAGUAUGGAAGAUGUCUGAUCUGACCAUCCAGAUGUGCAGCUGAGCCACCUGUCUGUGUGAAAUCAGUGGAAGGGAUCAGAAGAAAAUCUUGACUUCAGUCCUCUAAUUCCCAUGCAGGAGAAGGGGAGCUGAGUUUGUAUUCUCCAUCCCCUUAUGCAGUGGUAAGCACUGUAGCCUCUGCCUCAGCAUAUGAAAUAUUCUUAAAAAUCUGUAGAGAUUUCAGCAUUCUAGUACCAUGUCACAGUUGUUGUAGUUCUGCUAGAAAAUGUAAAUAACUGGCCAGAGGAUCCUUGAAGUGAAAGCUGCAUCUUCAUCUUUCUAGCACACCCCACUAGUCUGUGUUUAUCAAAGGAGGGGAAAAAAAGACUAAGGAAAAAAAAACCCUAUAGAAUGCUAUCUGUGCAGACUGCAGAGAGGUUGGUGCAUGAGCAAGGGGUGCUCUGUGACAUCAUGAGAAGGAGAGCAUUCGGGCCCAUUUCUCAAAGGAAGAGCUGUAGCUGUGAAGCUGCAUUGUGCUGCUUCUCCCUUUAUACUACGUUCCUCACCUUUCCAAAUUGUUUGGAAGCCAAUGCAGCAGUGCUACACUUCAAAACCAACUUAAUUAGCAAGCUGAUGACACUUCACCUUGAAUAA
RNAcentral lists this long non-coding RNA (1174 nucleotides) under Numida meleagris (helmeted guineafowl). RNAcentral describes it as "lncRNA (ENSNMEG00000016768.1)". The record is from RNAcentral. Lineage: Eukaryota; Metazoa; Chordata; Aves; Galliformes; Numididae.